Molecule: ribosomal RNA, 439 nt
Filed under: uncultured bacterium
Lineage: Bacteria
Description: partial 16S ribosomal RNA
Rfam family: Bacterial small subunit ribosomal RNA
Source: RNAcentral
CUACGGGGGGCUCCAGUGAGGAAUAUUGCACAAUGGGGGGAACCCUGAUGCAGCAACGCCGCGUGGAGGAUGACGCAUUUCGGUGUGUAAACUCCUUUUAUAUGUCAAGAAAAUGACGGUAGCAUAUGAAUAAGCACCGGCUAACUCCGUGCCAGCAGCCGCGGUAAUACGGAGGGUGCAAGCGUUACUCGGAAUCACUGGGCGUAAAGGACGCGUAGGCGGGUUGGAAAGUCAGGUGUGAAAUCCUACAGCUUAACUGUAGAACCGCACUUGAAACUUCUAAUCUAGAGUAUGGGAGGGGGAGAUGGAAUUAGUGGUGUAGGGAUAAAAUCCGUAGAUAUCACUAGGAAUACCUAAAGCGAAGGCGAUCUCCUGGAACAUUACUGACGCUAAGGCGUGAAAGCGUGGGGAGCAAACAGGAUUAGAUACCCCGGUAGUC